GAAAUGCGAUAAGUAAUGUGAAUUGCAGAAUUCCGUGAAUCAUCGAAUCUUUGAACGCACAUUGCGCCCUCUGGUAUUCCGGGGGGCAUGCCUGUCCGAGCGUCAUUGCGAACCCCUCAAGCACGGCUUGUGUGAUGGGCCCUCCCGCGUCUUGGUCGUCAAGACGGGCCCGAAAUGCAGUGGCGGCUUCGCGGUUAUCCGAUCAGCCAGAGCGUAUGGGGACUUUCUCUCUGUCACACGCCCGCGGCGCGGACCGACGCCUGUCGACCUUUAUUCAUCUUUUUCUCGGUUGACCUCGGAUCAGGUAGUGAUACCCGCUGAACUUAAGC
This 329-nucleotide unclassified non-coding RNA is filed under the name plant metagenome. Its description in RNAcentral is "partial contains 5.8S ribosomal RNA, internal transcribed spacer 2, and large subunit ribosomal RNA". The stretch from base 1 to 105 matches the Rfam family "5.8S ribosomal RNA", at positions 50 to 154 of the family's 154-position model. The record is from RNAcentral.